RNAcentral lists this transfer-messenger RNA (378 nucleotides) under Mycobacteriales. RNAcentral describes it as "JABFVL01 sp013362805 Standard tmRNA". It matches the Rfam family "transfer-messenger RNA". Rfam says of the family: Bacterial tmRNA, also known as 10Sa RNA or SsrA, is named for its dual tRNA and mRNA-like properties. Its role is to liberate the mRNA from a stalled ribosome. Lineage: Bacteria; Bacillati; Actinomycetota; Actinomycetes. RNAcentral also lists the same sequence under 1 other name. The record is from RNAcentral.
GGGGGUGCCAGGUCUCGACUCCGGACGUUGAGGCAAGGGAAGCGGGCCGAGGAAGGCAACAAUGAUCUCGUUAACCACGUGUUGCACAACUAAUAAGCGCCGACGUUAAGUCACAGCGCGAGCUCGCCCUUGCUGCCUAAGUAAGGCGCGGCUCUGUCAGACCGGGAGUGCCUCUGGCCCGGAUCCUGGCAUCGACUAAGAGGCUCACCGAACUCCUCGGCUAUCGGGGGAGGUCAGGGACAUCAAACAGUAGCUGGGCUCGUCACACCAGCUUGUUCACGUGACUGGUGGAGCCAAGUAGAGACACAGUGAACUGCGCCCGGAGAAGCCUUGUUGAGGCGACGGAGGACGCGGGUUCGAUUCCCGCCACCUCCACCA